AUAGCACCUAAAACAAGUAGCCAGGUUCCAGGAUUAAGUAAUCACCAUCAAGGUUUAUAACAUAAGCCAUAGGAAAAAAAAGUUGAGAUAUAAGCCUGAAGUCUAACAGGGGAAAAAAGAAACGUAGUCUCAUAAUUAUGGAAGGUAACAAGGGUUAUCUUGAACUGCUAACGGUCUUCAAAAGCUGCAAUAUUGUCAAACAAUGCCAACUGACCCACGGAAUUCAACUUCUAAAGGCACUAUAUUAAGUAAAAGUAAUAAACCUAUGAAUAUUGAGACACAUUGUUUAAGACACGGCCAGGUUCCAGGAUUAAGUAGACACCAUCACAGUUUAUAACAUAAGCCAUAGGAAAAAAAGUUAUGCCAUAAGCCCGAAGUCUAACAGGGGAAAAACAAACUUGGUCUCAUUAUUAUGGAAGGUAACAAGGGUCUCUAUCUUAACCAGCUAACAGUUUUCGAAAGCUGCAUUGUCGUCAAAUAAUGACAACUGACCCACAAAAUUUAACUUCUAAAGGCACUAUAUGAAGUAAAAGUAAUAACCCUAUGAAUCUUGAGACACAUUGUUUAAGAGAACCUAACUGUCCACACUAUCUUAACCAACUAAUUGUUGACCCAAGUGCAGAACGGAUGAUACAGCUAGUCUUCAAAAAUGUCAAUCCUUACAUGUAUUAUACUCAGGCGACGCGGAUGACAUAAAUGCUGAAGGUACACCUUUUUCAGUUACAGAUAAAGAUAGAUACAAUGAGAAUCACGGUCGAACCAAUGGACUAAUAUGAGGCAAACAAAGAAAUAAUCAGCUGUUUUCUUUUCACUUGAACAGCACAAAUUAAUAGUCAGUUGUUUCCAUACUGCCUUGUUAUUUUUAUUCUACUUUUAUAUGGCUUUUUGGUACUGUCCCUUCUUGUCUAUAUUUUAAUCAAUGUGGUGCUUAUGCUUUUCCUAAGCUGAGGGUUUAUUGGAAAUAGCCUCUCUGGUAAAGUGUGUGUACAUAACUACCUUCCCCAAACACCGCGGUGUGGGGUAAUACUGGUUGAACAGCACUUUCACAGAAAAGCAAAGUUCUCCAAUGGCAUUAAACAAACUAAUGAGAGUAGAAAAGCAUGAAUAAAAUGAAAAAUAUUACUUAGACAGAGAAAUCGAGUUAGCUCUGAGCUUUACAAGAGAGAAAUCCUUAAUAUUCUUACUAAAGGCAGCUAAUAAUCACAUCAUGGAUCAGCUUAACAGAUAUUGUAUUUGAAUAGCAUAAUCAGAAUUAACCUCCAAAUAGGGAUCAAAACAAUUUCGUUUGAAUAUGAAAGGAAUAUACAAUCUGAAUUUCCAAUGCAUCAAAUAACUUUUCA
RNAcentral lists this long non-coding RNA (1340 nucleotides) under Nicotiana benthamiana. RNAcentral's name for it is "long non-coding RNA (NBEN_LNC023981)". The record is from RNAcentral. Lineage: Eukaryota; Viridiplantae; Streptophyta; Magnoliopsida; Solanales; Solanaceae.